UAGGGAAUCUUCGGCAAUGGGGGCAACCCUGACCGAGCAACGCCGCGUGAGUGAAGAAGGUUUUCGGAUCGUAAAGCUCUGUUGUAAGUCAAGAACGGGUGUGAGAGUGGAAAGUUCACACUGUGACGGUAGCUUACCAGAAAGGGACGGCUAACUACGUGCCAGCAGCCGCGGUAAUACGUAGGUCCCGAGCGUUGUCCGGAUUUAUUGGGCGUAAAGCGAGCGCAGGCGGUUUGAUAAGUCUGAAGUUAAAGGCUGUGGCUCAACCAUAGUUCGCUUUGGAAACUGUCAAACUUGAGUGCAGAAGGGGAGAGUGGAAUUCCAUGUGUAGCGGUGAAAUGCGUAGAUAUAUGGAGGAACACCGGUGGCGAAAGCGGCUCUCUGGUCUGUAACUGACGCUGAGGCUCGAAAGCGUGGGGAGCGAACAGGAUUAGAUACCCUGGUAGUCCACGCCGUAAACGAUGAGUGCUAGGUGUUGGAUCCUUUCCGGGAUUCAGUGCCGCAGCUAACGCAUUAAGCACCCCGCCUGGGGGAGUACGACCGCAAGGUUGAAAC
Molecule: ribosomal RNA, 555 nt
Filed under: uncultured bacterium
Lineage: Bacteria
Description: partial 16S ribosomal RNA
Rfam family: Bacterial small subunit ribosomal RNA
Source: RNAcentral